UGCCGACGGAUAAUUAUACUUUACUCAUAUCCUAUACUUGUGACAUGAUUGGUCGAGUUUCAUAUCCUAUACUUGUGACAUGAUUGGUCGAGUUUCAUAUCCUGUACUUGUGACGUGAUUGGUCGAGUUUCAUAUCCUAGUUGAUCUGAGUGGUCAGUCCUUGUGGUUCAUUGAGCAGUAUUUGCAUAUGUUUGAGAGGAUGUCGAUGUUGUCCCAUCCUAGUUGACCUGAGUGGUCGGUUCUUGUGCUUCUUUACAGUUGAC
Molecule: long non-coding RNA, 263 nt
Filed under: Ananas comosus (pineapple)
Lineage: Eukaryota; Viridiplantae; Streptophyta; Magnoliopsida; Poales; Bromeliaceae
Description: long non-coding RNA (ACOM_LNC041432)
Source: RNAcentral